Molecule: transfer RNA, 73 nt
Filed under: Stegodyphus mimosarum
Lineage: Eukaryota; Metazoa; Arthropoda; Arachnida; Araneae; Eresidae
Rfam family: tRNA
About the family: Transfer RNA (tRNA) molecules are approximately 80 nucleotides in length. Their secondary structure includes four short double-helical elements and three loops (D, anti-codon, and T loops). Further hydrogen bonds mediate the characteristic L-shaped molecular structure. tRNAs have two regions of fundamental functional importance: the anti-codon, which is responsible for specific mRNA codon recognition, and the 3' end, to which the tRNAs corresponding amino acid is attached (by aminoacyl-tRNA synthetases). tRNAs cope with the degeneracy of the genetic code in two manners: having more than one tRNA (with a specific anti-codon) for a particular amino acid; and 'wobble' base-pairing, i.e. permitting non-standard base-pairing at the 3rd anti-codon position.
Source: Rfam by way of RNAcentral
GCUUUCGUAGCGUAGUGGUCGGCACGCUCGACGCAUAUUCGAGAGGUCCUUGGUUCGAUUCCCGGCGAAGGCG